UACGUAGGGGGCAAGCGUUGUCCGGAAUCAUUGGGCGUAAAGCGCGUGUAGGCGGCCCGGUAAGUCCGCUGUGAAAGUCGGGGGCUCAACCCUCGAAUGCCGGUGGAUACUGUCGGGCUAGAGUGCGGGAGAGGCGAGUGGAAUUCCUGGUGUAGCGGUGAAAUGCGCAGAUAUCAGGAGGAACACCGAUGGCGAAGGCAGGUCUCUGGGCCACUACUGACGCUGAGAAGCGAAAGCAUGGGGAGCGAACAGG
RNAcentral lists this ribosomal RNA (253 nucleotides) under uncultured bacterium. RNAcentral describes it as "partial 16S ribosomal RNA". It matches the Rfam family "Bacterial small subunit ribosomal RNA", at positions 524 to 776 of the family's 1533-position model. The record is from RNAcentral.